Molecule: long non-coding RNA, 1075 nt
Organism: Urocitellus parryii (Arctic ground squirrel)
Lineage: Eukaryota; Metazoa; Chordata; Mammalia; Rodentia; Sciuridae
Source: Ensembl
GUUGCAGUGGAAAAGCUCCAUCUUCUGUGCACAGAUUCCCAGCCCAUGGAUGUGGUGGGCUGACUCAGCAGUCUUCUAGAAGGAUGCAGAUGUGGUAUGACUUCAGCAUGGGGGUGAAACCAUCACUGCAAGAGACUAUAUUUAGGCCCACAGUGUGUCAGAAGGAUGACAUGUUCUAUACAACCUUUUCACCCURUCUGCUUCUAUAUACACAAGCACCUCUGUAUAUGAAYUCCUGGAGGUUCUGUGACUUUUUAAUAUUCCCCAGAGCUACCUUCGAAAACUGUGAGGUCACUUGGAUAGAAGCAGGAUUCAAAUGCAGAGUGUGAACACUCAAGAAGAGAUGCAGACUACAGCAGUUGCUAGCAUCUUUGAGCAUUAACUAUUCUCACUCAGAAUAUGGAGUAUUUAGAUAACAGCUCCUGCAGGAGCCAGGAGGUUUUAGCAACAGAGUUGCCAGUUUACAUUUUAACAACCAUGGGACAAGUCACUCUCUUCUUCCUGCAGUCUAUAACUCUGACCGCUCAGUGGACUUCCUGGGAACAAAUGCAGCUGGAGGAGAUCAAACCCCAGUGUURCUGGUAUGCGGGGCACAAGCUGCCCAGUGCCACUCUUUCUCUGAGGAGCCAAUGAGGUGUUGGUGGUGUUGAGCUCUGAACUAGAGGUCAGGAUAUUUUGGUUGCUAAUUCUAGCUCUGCCACUUCCCUGCCAGGUGACUUCCUURUAUCAGGUGACUGUAUGAGGCCUGCUGCUUCCCUGUGCACAGAAUGAGGGCUGUCCUUGGCRUUACUCCCAGCUGCAGUGUUCUAGAAGACUGAAUUAGCUUUGUCAUCCCAAAUUCUGGAAAUAAGCAGUGAAUGUUUAGAUGAUUAUAUACUUGGGAACUUUGUGUGGAGGUCCCAGACAUUUGGUAUUGGGUGGCAAAAUCUCAGAGCUAUGAAKUUUCACUCAAGUGCAAAGUUCCCAGAACUACUAACUUGUACAAUUUCUCUAAUGUGACAUUCUUUGACAGAUAAUUUUAUCAUGUUGGAGGAUAGUGACUUUUAUUAAACAAGUACUCUUUGAAAUCUUUCAG